This 1433-nucleotide ribosomal RNA is filed under the name uncultured Bordetella sp. Its description in RNAcentral is "partial 16S-23S ribosomal RNA intergenic spacer". It matches the Rfam family "Bacterial small subunit ribosomal RNA". Lineage: Bacteria; Pseudomonadati; Pseudomonadota; Betaproteobacteria; Burkholderiales; Alcaligenaceae. The record is from RNAcentral.
GGUUUGAUUGGCUCAGAUUGAACGCUGGCGGGAUGCUUUACGCACAAGUCGAACGGCAGCACGGACUUCGGUCUGGUGGCGAGUGGUGGGUGAGUAAUGUAUCGGAACGUGCCUAGUAGCGGGGGAUAACUACGCAGCGUAGCUAAUACCACAUACGCCCUUCGGGGGAAAGCGGGGGACCUUCAGACUCCACUAUUAGAGCGGCCGAUAUCGGAUUAGCUAUUGGGUGGGUGGCUCACCAAGGCGACAUCCGUAGCUGGUUUGAGAGGACGACCAGCCACAGGACUGGACACGGCCCAGACUCCUACGGGGAGGCAGCGGUGGGGAAUUUUGGACAAUGAGAGAGAGCCUGAUCCAGCCAUCCCGCGUGUGUUGGGAAGGCCUUCGGGUUGUAAAGCACUUUUGGCGGAAAGAAACAUGCAGGAUAUGCAAUGCAACUGACGGUACCUGCAAGUCACUUCCGGCUAACUACAUUACCAGCAGCCGCGGUAAUACGUAGGGUGCAAGCGUUAAUCGGAAUUACUGGGCGUAAAGCGUGCGCAGGCGGUUCGGAAGAAGAUGUGAAAUCCCAGAGCAACCUGGAACUGCAUUUUUAACUACCGAGCUGGAGUGUGUCAGGAGGUGGAAUUCCGCGUGUGGCAGUGAAAUGCGUAGAUGGAGGAACACCGAUGGCGAAGGCAGCCUCACUGGGAUAACAUGACGCUCAUGCACGAAAGCGUGGGAGCAAACAGAAGUUAGAUACCCUGGUAGUCCACAUCUCAACUAGCUGUUGGGGCCUUCGGGCCUUGGUAGCGCAAUAACGCACGAAGUUGAUACCGCCUGGGGAAGUACGGAGUCCGCAGAUUCAGAACUCAAAGGAAUUGACGGACCGCACAAGCGGUGGAUGAUGUGGAUUAAUUCGAUGCAACGCGAAAAACCACCUACCCUUGACAUGUCUGGAAUCCCGAAGAGAUUUGGGAGUGCUCGCAAGAGAACCAGAAACGCAGGUGCUGCAUGGCUGUCGUCAGCUCGUGUCGUGAGAUGUUGGGUUAAGUCCCGCAACGAGCGCAACCCUUGUCAUUAGUUUAACUACGAAAGGGCACUCUAAUAGAGACUACCGGUAUCAAAGCGGAAGGUGGGGAUGACGUCAAGUCCUCAUGGCCCUUAUGGGUAGGGCCCACACGUCAUACAAUGGUGGGACAGAGGGUCGCCAACCCGCGAGGAGGCCAAUCCCGAGGAAACCCGAUCGCUAGUCGGAUUAUAGUCUGCAACUCAGCUGCGUGAAGUGGAAUCGCUAAUCGCGGAUCAGCAUGUCGCGGUGAAUACGUUCCCGGGUCUUGUACACACCGCCCGUCACACCAUGGGAGUGGGUUUACCAGAAGUAGUUAGCUAAAACAUAUAAGGAGGGCGAUUACCACGGUAGGAUUCAUGACUGGGGUGAAGUCAUGUGGUAG